This 203-nucleotide long non-coding RNA is filed under the name Elaeis guineensis (African oil palm). Its description in RNAcentral is "long non-coding RNA (EGUI_LNC045437)". The record is from RNAcentral. Lineage: Eukaryota; Viridiplantae; Streptophyta; Magnoliopsida; Arecales; Arecaceae.
GACCUAACUUAUUUGGUUCAAUUAGGUUGGUUUAAAUAAUUAAACCACCUUGACCCAAUCUCCAUGCGCCACCUCACUUCCAUUGCACCCAUUUGAAUUCAUGAGAAGAAACUUCUCAUGAAUUUUUUUCUCACGCCAAGCCCUCUCCACGCCCCACUUUAAUGUGCCAUAUGAAUGGAUAAGGAUGAUUGGUUGGCCAUUCA